AUGAGCUACUCUCAACCACAAAGAUGAGGACCACUGGAGCAGGCGACUUAGACCAAUGUGGGGCCAGCUGGGAACCUGGGUGAUCUCAUGGAGUGGAGCCCAACUUUCUGCCCUGGACUGGUGAGGUGGUCCCUGGAUGACCAUUUCUACCCUUACACCUUCUGAUGAACACCAAUAAAAGCCUGGAGAAAAAGUAUCACUCAUUCAGUCUCAUGGGUUCUGACCGAGAACAGCAAUGUGCAAGCACAACUUCUCUAUCAUCCUUGGAAUCCUCUGUGGUACCACAGAUCGCCAACUUUGAGAUUUUAAAUCUGUGGUCUUCAAAUCAUGAGUACCAACCCAUGAGGACAUGCAGUCAGUAAACAGAUUCCACCUUACUGCACCCCGCCAGGCAGACAGAGUCAAGUUCACUAAGUCUCAUGGAAGGAGAAAAGAAGGAGAAGAUGGACAGAGUGCACCCUCACCUCUGCCUGCUCUUGGCCUCCAGGGUUGCUUCACGCCCGCCUCCCAAACAGAGGCGCUAAGCCACCGCCACAGCCCGGAUUUUCCUGCAGGCAGAGCCCGGCCUUGUUUUGACAGUCAUUUCUGCUGCUUUCUGCUUCUGCUUGGAAGGAGCACACAGUUGCAGAGGUCUGGGGAAGGAUGCCCU
Molecule: non-coding RNA, 649 nt
Organism: Leptonychotes weddellii (Weddell seal)
Lineage: Eukaryota; Metazoa; Chordata; Mammalia; Carnivora; Phocidae
Source: RefSeq, a predicted model, not a curated record